GACGAACGCUGGCGGCGCGCCUAACACAUGCAAGUCGAACGAGCGAGAGAGAGCUUGCUUUCUCGAGCGAGUGGCGAACGGGUGAGUAACGCGUGAGGAACCUGCCUCAAAGAGGGGGACAACAGUUGGAAACGACUGCUAAUACCGCAUAAGCCCACGACCCGGCAUCGGGUAGAGGGAAAAGGAGCAAUCCGCUUUGAGAUGGCCUCGCGUCCGAUUAGCUAGUUGGUGAGGUAACGGCCCACCAAGGCGACGAUCGGUAGCCGGACUGAGAGGUUGAACGGCCACAUUGGGACUGAGACACGGCCCAGACUCCUACGGGAGGCAGCAGUGGGGAAUAUUGCACAAUGGGGGAAACCCUGAUGCAGCGACGCCGCGUGGAGGAAGAAGGUCUUCGGAUUGUAAACUCCUGUUGUUGAGGAAGAUAAUGACGGUACUCAACAAGGAAGUGACGGCUAACUACG
RNAcentral lists this ribosomal RNA (464 nucleotides) under uncultured bacterium. RNAcentral's name for it is "partial 16S ribosomal RNA". It matches the Rfam family "Bacterial small subunit ribosomal RNA", at positions 28 to 505 of the family's 1533-position model. The record is from RNAcentral.